RNAcentral lists this ribosomal RNA (327 nucleotides) under uncultured Chloroflexota bacterium. RNAcentral describes it as "bacterial SSU rRNA". It matches the Rfam family "Bacterial small subunit ribosomal RNA", at positions 28 to 351 of the family's 1533-position model. The record is from RNAcentral. Lineage: Bacteria; Bacillati; Chloroflexota.
GAUGAACGCUGGCGGCGUGCUUAAUACAUGCAAGUCGAACGGAGAGGGCUUACUUCGGUGAGUUCUUUUAGUGGCGAACGGGUGAGUAACGCGUUGGUGACCUGCCCCGAAUCGUGGGAUAACAGUUCGAAAGGACUGCUAAUACCGCAUGAGGUUACCGGAGUUAGAGAGCGGUAACGAAAGGAGCGAUCCGAUUUGGGAGGGGCCUGCGUCCCAUCAGCUAGUUGGUAGGGUAAAGGCCUACCAAGGCGACGACGGGUAGGGGACCUGAGAGGGUGACCCCCCACACUGGCACUGAAACACGGGCCAGACACCUACGGGUGGCUG